Molecule: transfer RNA, 90 nt
Filed under: Acrocarpospora phusangensis
Lineage: Bacteria; Bacillati; Actinomycetota; Actinomycetes; Streptosporangiales; Streptosporangiaceae
Description: tRNA-Arg
Source: RNAcentral
GCAGGGUGGCGCGCACUUCGGCGAACCCGAGGUCGCGGGCCUCGGUGAGGAGGGCGCGGGCCAGGGCGGUGCCGAGGCCGCGGCCCUGCC